This 403-nucleotide ribosomal RNA is filed under the name uncultured bacterium. Its description in RNAcentral is "partial 16S ribosomal RNA". It matches the Rfam family "Bacterial small subunit ribosomal RNA", at positions 30 to 526 of the family's 1533-position model. The record is from RNAcentral.
AUUGAACGCUGGCGGCAGGCCUAACACAUGCAAGUCGAGCGAGCGGCGGACGGGUGAGUAAUGUAUGGGGACUGCCCGAUAGAGGGGGAUAACUACUGGAAACGGUGGCUAAUACCGCAUACUAUCGGAUAACCCAUAUGGGAUUAGCUAGUAGGUGGGGUAAAGGCUCACCUAGGCGACGAUCGCUAGCUGGUCUGAGAGGAUGAUCAGCCACACUGGGACGUAGAAACGGUCCAUACUCCUACGGAGGCAGCAGUGGGGAAUAUUGCACAAUGGGCGCAAGCCUUAUGCAGCGUUGCCGCGUGUAUGAAGAAGGCCUUCGGGUUGUAAAGUACUUUCAGCGGGGAGGCGUUACCCGCAGAAGAAGCACCGGCUAACACCGUGCCAGCAGCCGCGGUAAGAC